RNAcentral lists this long non-coding RNA (360 nucleotides) under Homo sapiens (human). Its description in RNAcentral is "HSALNT0034077". Lineage: Eukaryota; Metazoa; Chordata; Mammalia; Primates; Hominidae. The record is from RNAcentral.
GGAACAAACCUGCACAUUGUGCACAUGUACCCUAAAACUUAAAGUAUAAUAAUAAUAAAACUUUAAAAAAUAAAAAUAAAAAAUAAACCUAUAAGUUAAAGUAAUUUGAUACUGACCGAGGACUAGAUUAAGAAUCAGCAAACUUUAUUGUUGAAGGAAGUAAGACUUAGAAGAGUUUAAGUUGACCAAGGCCACAGAACUCCAAAUGAAUAGUGUCAGACUUUCAAACCCACACUCAACCACACUGUAAUGCUGCCUUCCUAAAAUAUACAUUAAUACAUGUAUUCAGAAAAACUAUGAAUAAGAAGUACCUAAAAAUAUUAAUAUUAGUUAUCUGUAGGUGAUAGAAUUAUGGGAUGA